RNAcentral lists this ribosomal RNA (623 nucleotides) under Streptococcus mutans. RNAcentral describes it as "bacterial SSU rRNA". It matches the Rfam family "Bacterial small subunit ribosomal RNA", at positions 370 to 984 of the family's 1533-position model. The record is from RNAcentral. Lineage: Bacteria; Bacillati; Bacillota; Bacilli; Lactobacillales; Streptococcaceae.
AAUGGACGAAAGUCUGACCGAGCAACGCCGCGUGAGUGAAGAAGGUUUUCGGAUCGUAAAGCUCUGUUGUAAGUCAAGAACGUGUGUGAGAGUGGAAAGUUCACACAGUGACGGUAGCUUACCAGAAAGGGACGGCUAACUACGUGCCAGCGGCCGCGGUAAUACGUAGGUCCCGAGCGUUGUCCGGAUUUAUUGGGCGUAAAGGGAGCGCAGGCGGUCAGGAAAGUCUGGAGUAAAAGGCUAUGGCUCAACCAUAGUGUGCUCUGGAAACUGUCUGACUUGAGUGCAGAAGGGGAGAGUGGAAUUCCAUGUCUAGCGGUGAAAUGCGUAGAUAUAUGGAGGAACACCAGUGGCGAAAGCGGCUCUCUGGUCUGUCACUGACGCUGAGGCUCGAAAGCGUGGGUAGCGAACAGGAUUAGAUACCCUGGUAGUCCACGCCGUAAACGAUGAGUGCUAGGUGUUAGGCCCUUUCCGGGGCUUAGUGCCGGAGCUAACGCAAUAAGCACUCCGCCUGGGGAGUACGACCGCAAGGUUGAAACUCAAAGGAAUUGACGGGGGCCCGCACAAGCGGUGGAGCAUGUGGUUUAAUUCGAAGCAACGCGAAGAACCUUACCAGGUCUUGA